Acanthosepion pharaonis is the source of this 115-nucleotide non-coding RNA. NCBI's taxonomy places the organism in Eukaryota, Metazoa, Mollusca, Cephalopoda, Sepiida, Sepiidae. The record is from the annotation of a GenBank genome assembly.
UUACGACCAUAUCAUGCUUGAACCAUCGAUUCUCGUAAGAUCACCGAAGUUAAGCAAUGCCGAGUGUGGUCUGUACCUAGAUGGGUAACCGCUUGGGAAUACUAGAUGCUGUAAG